This 497-nucleotide ribosomal RNA is filed under the name uncultured bacterium. RNAcentral describes it as "partial 16S ribosomal RNA". It matches the Rfam family "Bacterial small subunit ribosomal RNA", at positions 28 to 507 of the family's 1533-position model. The record is from RNAcentral.
GAUGAACGCUGGCGGCGUGCCUAAUACAUGCAAGUCGAACGAACCGACCAGGAGCUUUCUCCCCUGACUUCAGCGCCGGACGGGAGCGUAACACAUGGAUAAACUACCUCUACGACUGGGGUACCAUCAGCAGACCGGAGCUACUACCCGAAAAUAUAUUGCCCCUCGUUGUUCCCUAGUGAGAUACGCUUUUUCUGCCACUUAUAGAUGACUCCGCGCCGCAUUAGUUAGUUGGCUAGGUAGCGGCUUACCAACGCUACGAUGCUUACACGACCCGAGCGGGUGGUUGGCCAGAUGGGAACUGAGACAGGGCCCAGACUCCUACAGGAGGCAGCAGUAGGGAAUCUUACGCGAGGGAGGAGAGCGUGACGGAGCAACGCGGCGGGAAUGAUGAAGGUCUUCGGAUCCGAAAGCUCUGUUAUCAGGGAAGAAGAAAAGCGUAAGUAACUGUGCUCGUCUUGACGGUACCUGAUCAGAAAGCCACGGCUAACUACGUG